AUUGAACGCUGGCGGCAGGCUUAACACAUGCAAGUCGAGCGGGGGAAGGUAGCUUGCUACCGGACCUAGCGGCGGACGGGUGAGUAAUGCUUAGGAAUCUGCCUAUUAGUGGGGGACAACAUCUCGAAAGGGAUGCUAAUACCGCAUACGUCCUACGGGAGAAAGCAGGGGAUCUUCGGACCUUGCGCUAAUAGAUGAGCCUAAGUCGGAUUAGCUAGUUGGUGGGGUAAAGGCCUACCAAGGCGACGAUCUGUAGCGGGUCUGAGAGGAUGAUCCGCCGAACUGGGACUGGGACCCGGCCCAGACUCCUACGGGAGGCAGCAGUGGGGAAUAUUGGACAAUGGGGGGAACCCUGAUCCAGCCAUGCCGCGUGUGUGAAGAAGGCCUUAUGGUUGUAAAGCACUUUAAGCGAGGAGGAGGCUACUCUAGUUAAUACCUAGGGAUAGUGGACGUUACUCGCAGAAUAAGCACCGGCUAACUCUGUGCCAGCCGCCGCCGUAA
RNAcentral lists this ribosomal RNA (501 nucleotides) under uncultured bacterium. Its description in RNAcentral is "partial 16S ribosomal RNA". It matches the Rfam family "Bacterial small subunit ribosomal RNA", at positions 30 to 523 of the family's 1533-position model. The record is from RNAcentral.